GGGGAUGCAAGGCUUCGACAGCGUGACCAACGAAGUGCGACUUCCCCGGUCCGGGAUUGUAGGAGUUCCCGUCACCCACUUCCUGCAAAACUAUCUGCAAACUACAAGCAGACAUUCGCCAGCCUCAAAGCUCGCUUUGCGAGCCCGGUGUUCGCUCCGGCAUUCGCCAUGGCUGCGUAAGUUCGCCUCUGCGCGAAAACGUCUCCCCAUGAUCCUCGCUAAUGGGAUGAGGCGUCACUAGCGGGGUGGGAUCAUCGCCUGAUGUGACGAUGACCGACGUAUAGCAUCAACCUUUGUUGUCUGUCCUUGAUUCUUCCUUAGGACAACGAAGUAACGGAAGAACCAUGACCGUACGGGUAUCCGCUUCGCACGUUGGACCCGGGUUCAAUUCCCGGCAUCUCCACCA
Non-coding RNA from Candidatus Peribacteria bacterium, 406 nucleotides. The record is from Rfam. NCBI's taxonomy places the organism in Bacteria, Candidatus Peregrinibacteriota, Candidatus Peribacteria.